This 256-nucleotide long non-coding RNA is filed under the name Gossypium barbadense (sea-island cotton). Its description in RNAcentral is "long non-coding RNA (GBAR_LNC021220)". The record is from RNAcentral. Lineage: Eukaryota; Viridiplantae; Streptophyta; Magnoliopsida; Malvales; Malvaceae.
AUCAUCAAAAAUCGGAGAAAAAUAAUUAGGGGUUUAAAUUUAUAUGUUUAAGAAACAAACGGGAAUAUCAUCCAAAUUUUGUGUUAAGAGAUAAUUAAUUUUUAGUACGCAAAGGUCAAAGCUGUCAAACAGUAGAACAGCGAUAAAUUUGAAGAUUUUACUGUACUAAUUGGAUAAACUAUAAAUUCUGAAAUUUUUUACUGUAGAAGGAUAUAUGAAUCUAGUUUCAAAAACAUUAAGCGGAUCUUAAUUUGGA